CCUACGGGAGGCAGCAGUGGGGAAUAUUGGGCAAUGGGCGCAAGCCUGACCCAGCAACGCCGCGUGAAGGAAGAAGGUUUUCGGGUUGUAAACUUCUUUUCUCAGGGACGAAGAAAGUGACGGUACCCGAGGAAUAAGCCACGGCUAACUACGUGCCAGCAGCCGCGGUAAUACGUAGGUGGCAAGCGUUAUCCGGAUUUAUUGGGUGUAAAGGGCGUGUAGGCGGGUUCGCAAGUCAGAGGUGAAAACUCAGGGCUCAACCCUGAGCCUGCAUUUGAAACUGUGUUUCUUGAGUGCAGGAGAGGCAAUCGGAAUUCCGGGUGUAGCGGUGAAAUGCGUAGAUAUACGGAGGAACACCAGUGGCGAAGGCGGAUUGCUGGACAGUAACUGACGCUGAGGCGCGAAAGCGUGGGGAGCAAACAGGAUUAGAUACCCGGGUAGUC
Molecule: ribosomal RNA, 443 nt
Filed under: uncultured bacterium
Lineage: Bacteria
Description: partial 16S ribosomal RNA
Rfam family: Bacterial small subunit ribosomal RNA
Source: RNAcentral